RNAcentral lists this ribosomal RNA (301 nucleotides) under uncultured bacterium. Its description in RNAcentral is "partial 16S ribosomal RNA". It matches the Rfam family "Bacterial small subunit ribosomal RNA", at positions 509 to 807 of the family's 1533-position model. The record is from RNAcentral.
CAGCAGCCGCGGGAAUACGAAGGGGGCUAACGUUGCUCGGAAUGACUGGGCGUAAAGGGCGCGUAGGCGGAUUGUUUAGUUAGGCGUGAAAUUCCUGGGCUUAACCUGGGGACUGCGCUUAAUACAGGCAGUCUAGAGUGAGGAAGAGGGUUGUGGAAUUCCCAGUGUAGAGGUGAAAUUCGUAGAUAUUGGGAAGAACACCGGUGGCGAAGGCGGCGACCUGGUCCGUGACUGACGCUGAUGCGCGAAAGCGUGGGGAGCAAACAGGAUUAGAUACCCCCGUAGUCCCUGUCUCUUAUAC